This 467-nucleotide ribosomal RNA is filed under the name uncultured bacterium. Its description in RNAcentral is "partial 16S ribosomal RNA". It matches the Rfam family "Bacterial small subunit ribosomal RNA", at positions 28 to 506 of the family's 1533-position model. The record is from RNAcentral.
GACGAACGCUGGCGGCGUGCUUAACACAUGCAAGUCGAACGGAAAGGCCCUGCUUUUGUGGGGUGCUCGAGUGGCGAACGGGUGAGUAACACGUGAGUAACCUGCCCUUGACUUUGGGAUAACUUCAGGAAACUGGGGCUAAUACCGGAUAGGAGCUCCUGCUGCAUGGUGGGGGUUGGAAAGUUUCGGCGGUUGGGGAUGGACUCGCGGCUUAUCAGCUUGUUGGUGGGGUAGUGGCUUACCAAGGCUUUGACGGGUAGCCGGCCUGAGAGGGUGACCGGCCACAUGGGGACUGAGAUACGGCCCAGACUCCUACGGGAGGCAGCAGUGGGGAAUAUUGCACAAUGGGCGGAAGCCUGAUGCAGCAACGCCGCGUGCGGGAGGACGGCCUCCGGGUGGUAAACCGCUUUCGCCUGUGACGAAGCGUGAGUGACGGUAAUGGGGAAAGAAGCACCGGCUAACUACGU